Long non-coding RNA from Gavialis gangeticus (Gharial), 988 nucleotides. RefSeq lists it as uncharacterized. The record is from RefSeq and is a predicted model, not a curated record. Lineage: Eukaryota; Metazoa; Chordata; Crocodylia; Gavialidae. The transcript has 7 exons.
UGGAUUUUCCUUUGUUGGGACCACAGUGGUAGAUGACAAAGCUGUGCUCUUGAGAAAUAAGAGUGAACACUGUCAUUCACAGCUUGUUACACCACAGAGAAACUCUAAACAGUUCUCUCUGGCAAGAUAGCAAGAUGACUUUCUCCGGAUUUUAACCUGUGGCUGAGGAUCUUCAAGUGAGAGCUCUGCCAUUUGAUUGGAAAAAUCAAGUCCCUGAACUCAGGGCCACCAUGCUAGAUAAAACUUCUAUAAGGCACCUGAGAGAGAGAGGGGGAGAGAGAGAACACCUCCAGAGAGCAGCCUGCUGAUAGAGCCUACUUCUGACAAUAUGUGUAUACAGAGAAGCACAGUAAAAGUUAUCAGGCCUAGGGAGUAGAGGGGCAAGAUGAAGUGAGCCAUCCCAUUCCACAAGAAGCAACAAAGACUGAUUCAGAAAGUCAGUGCUGUAGCUUAAACAUGGAGGACAAGAGAGAUCCUUAGAGGUGAGAAGCAGUUCUUGCAUGACCAGUGACUAUCACCAUACAUCUGCUACCACACAGUUAGACAUUUUCUGUGGCCAGUUCUAAAAGUCCAACAGGGAGAAGAAAAAUAAGAGACAAAACCUUGGAAUUCCAUAGGAUAGAUUCCAUUUAUUGGCCCUGGAGGCUGACAAGGAACCAACACCUGUGCCCAAAUGUUUUUAGAACCUUGGCAACGGAAGGCAUGUUCAUUAUGCAAGAGAGCUGUAGUUCCAAGUGUGCUUAAGGCAUAGAAGAAUAGCAGACUUUUCACUUGCAAGAAGAAAAACAGGUUAAAGAGCAGGACGACUGGCAUAAUAGAGUUAUUAGUGUGAACAACCUUGAUGAAACUUCUGACUACCUGGAGCGCACAUUACUAGUGGAAAUCAUGUUUUUUGGUAAGCUUGUUUGGUGACCUAAAAAUCAGUGUUGGUGAUCACAUCAGAAUUGGGAAAUCUCAAGAAAGAAGCUCAUUUUCUCUCAGCAGGUCA